AACGCAUAUUGCACUCUCUGGCUCUCCAGAGAGUAUGCCUGUUUGAGUAUCAGUUUUAAUCUCUCACCCUCAAUUGGGAGUGAGGAAUUGAGCAAUCCGCUGGCAAUAAAUUGUUUACGCAGUUUAAUGAUUGAUGCGGUUGUUUGAAAUAGAUAGCUAAGCGGUAUUGACCACUGCUUAAGAUGACUAGGCGUAUUAGUUUCCCAUUUGGGAAUCCACUCGUGCGCCGGUGUAUUGGUCUCUAAAGCCUUUGUGUUGGUUGAUCGCUAUGUUUUUCUAAGUGUUCUUUUGAGCAUUUACUUAGUUUGACUUGCAGUUCGCAUACCAAACUUGAUCUUGAUCUCAAAUCAGGCAAGACUACCCGCUGAAUUUAA
Molecule: unclassified non-coding RNA, 374 nt
Filed under: uncultured fungus
Lineage: Eukaryota; Fungi
Description: partial contains 5.8S ribosomal RNA, internal transcribed spacer 2, and large subunit ribosomal RNA
Source: RNAcentral